This 921-nucleotide ribosomal RNA is filed under the name uncultured bacterium. Its description in RNAcentral is "bacterial SSU rRNA". It matches the Rfam family "Bacterial small subunit ribosomal RNA", at positions 518 to 1440 of the family's 1533-position model. The record is from RNAcentral.
CGGUAAUACGUAGNUCCCGAGCGUUGUCCGGAUUUAUUGGGCGUAAAGGGAGCGCAGGCGGUCAGGAAAGUNUGGAGUAAAAGGCUAUGGCUCAACCAUAGUGUGCUCUGGAAACUGUNUGACUUGAGUGCAGAAGGGGAGAGUGGAAUUCCAUGUGUAGCGGUGAAAUGCGUAGAUAUAUGGAGGAACNCCAGUGGCGAAAGCGGCUCUCUGGUCUGUCACUGACGCUGAGGCUCGAAAGCGUGGGUAGCGAACAGGAUUAGAUACCCUGGUAGUNCACGCCGUAAACGAUGAGUGCUAGGUGUUAGGCCCUUUCCGGGGCUUAGUGCCGGAGCUAACGCAAUAAGCACUCCGCCUGGGGAGUACGACCGCAAGGUUGAAACUCAAAGGAAUUGACGGGGGCCCGCACAAGCGGUGGAGCAUGUGGUUUAAUUCGAAGCAACGCGAAGAACCUUACCAGGUCUUGUCAUCCCGAUGCUAUUCUUAGAGAUAGGAAGUUACUUCGGUACAUCGGAGACAGGUGGUGCAUGGUUGUCGUCAGCUCGUGUCGUGAGAUGUUGGGUUAAGUCCCGCAACGAGCGCAACCCUUAUUGUUAGUUGCCAUCAUUAAGUUGGGCACUCUAGCGAGACUGCCGGUAAUAAACCGGAGGAAGGUGGGGAUGACGUCAAAUCAUCAUGCCCCUUAUGACCUGGGCUACACACGUGCUACAAUGGUCGGUACAACGAGUUGCGAGCCGGUGACGGCAAGCUAAUCUCUGAAAGCCGAUCUCAGUUCGGAUUGGAGGCUGCAACUCGCCUCCAUGAAGUCGGAAUCGCUAGUAAUCGCGGAUCAGCACGCCGCGGUGAAUACGUUCCCGGGCCUUGUACACACCGCCCGUCACACCACGAGAGUUUGUAACACCCGAAGUCGGUGAGGUAACC